CAACAAACAAAUAAACAUCUUCAUUGUGUUGACUCGGACUACUUGAAUUCACUCCUGCAGUGUCCCUCUCUCCAUUCAUUCUCCUCCGACAACAACGCAAUGCCUUCAUCGUCUUCGUCUUCUUCUUCUUCUUCCGCUCUAACCGUUCCCAAUUUGCAUCUUCGCGCCCUCAGAAUUUGGUCCUCCAAGUACUACGCAAUCGCCGCAUUCAUCUUCCUCGUCCUCUUCUCUCUCCUUCUCUUCUCCCACUUGGAUUCACGUUCCCGUUACUCCAACCUCAUUCCGUUAACCCUCCUCCGCAACGCCAACCAAACGCUUGCGCUAUGCUUGGACGGGAGCGCCCCUGGUUACCAUUUCCGAAGCCGGUUCGGAUCCGGAUCCCGCAAUUGGCUGAUCCACAUUGGGGUUUCUGGCUCCCUUGUUGUUAAAAAUGAGUUUGGUUUCUAAAAUGGAGAAAUGCUAGUAACACACUCUCCAAUACUUGAAAUUAUUACGUAGUCCCAAACUUCCAUUUCCAUAGUCCCAGAUAAUCUCUAUGUAACUCUGUAACUCAUAAUUGAGUUUUAUUAACUAUCUCUUGUAAAUUUGAAAGACACAUAGAAAUUAGCUGGAACUAUAGACACGCGUAAUAAUUUCUCUUUCUACUAAUAGGGUAUAGUUCAGUUGGUUGGAUGGGGGUGAGUUUUUGUAAAUUCCUUAUACCUGUCUUUCAUUCCUAUAAAUAUUAAAAAAACAAACUCUUUCUGACAUACUCUUUUAAACACAUUCUUUAUUAUCGAGGAUUGAAAUCUAUUGAAAAUCAUAAGAUUUUGCAAUUCUCACUUCUUAUUUAAUAAGUUUAGCUCGUAAUUUUAUAGAUUCCAAUUCCAAUGAAUUUUAUAGGUUGUGUUCCUCUCGAAAAUAUUAUUGACCUGGUUUCGAUUGUGUGUGCAGGGAGGAAGGUGGUGCAAUUCGAUACUUUCAUGUCAUCAGUGAAAAUUCACUCAUUUGGGGUCUUCCAAUCAUAUGGAGAAGCUUAUUCCUUUUUCAGGAAUAUUGAGCUCUGACCCUGCUCAGAACACUGGUGAAGAUACACUACUGUGGCGGCGCAUCUUUUGCCGGUCAUCCAGAGAGUGAGCAGAGAGGAAGUGGGUUGUUCUUCAGAGGCUAGGUCAUAUGGAAAACUAUUAUGGAUGAACUCUUAUCAACUGGCCUGUCUAAAGCAAAGCAGGCUUUGCUUUCAGGAUGCUCUGCUGGAGGAUUGGCAACUCUUAUACACUGAUAAUUUCCGACAAGUACUUCCAAAGGAAGCAACUGUCGAGUGUCUUGCCGAUGCAGGAUUCUUCCUAGAUGAGGUCUUGCAAAAAGUUUGCACAAAGAUUGCAUUGCUAAAAUGGAACCAUAUAAGGC
This is a long non-coding RNA of Glycine soja, 1389 nucleotides long. RefSeq lists it as uncharacterized. Lineage: Eukaryota; Viridiplantae; Streptophyta; Magnoliopsida; Fabales; Fabaceae. The transcript has 6 exons. The record is from RefSeq and is a predicted model, not a curated record.